AAGAAGUCAAUCUUGGAUGGACAAUCCACCAAAAAGAUAUUGGUCUGUCAGAACAAGAAGCUGACCUGAAGCAGAUGAAAACAAGCAGUUCCAUCUCCAGGAAAAUCAGCUUUGUCUCAGACUACUGGUAAACAGGCAAGUUCAUUCUAUGUGUGUCUAGUUGAUAUGUGCUUACUCUCUUACUGCUGAAAGUGCCUUUGAUAAAUGGCUAAAGUGUUAUCUA
This 223-nucleotide long non-coding RNA is filed under the name Numida meleagris (helmeted guineafowl). RNAcentral's name for it is "lncRNA (ENSNMEG00000012729.1)". Lineage: Eukaryota; Metazoa; Chordata; Aves; Galliformes; Numididae. The record is from RNAcentral.